This 314-nucleotide unclassified non-coding RNA is filed under the name plant metagenome. Its description in RNAcentral is "partial contains 5.8S ribosomal RNA, internal transcribed spacer 2, and large subunit ribosomal RNA". The stretch from base 1 to 105 matches the Rfam family "5.8S ribosomal RNA", at positions 50 to 154 of the family's 154-position model. The record is from RNAcentral.
GAAAUGCGAUAAUUAAUGUGAAUUGCAGAAUUCAGUGAAUCAUCGAGUCUUUGAACGCACAUUGCGCCCCCUGGUAUUCCGGGGGGCAUGCCUGUCCGAGCGUCAUUGCUGCCCUCAAGCACGGCUUGUGUGUUGGGCUUCCGUCCCUGGCAACGGGGACGGGCCCAAAAGGCAGCGGCGGCACCAUGUCUGGUCCUCGAGCGUAUGGGGCUUUGUCACCCGCUCCCGUAGGUCCAGCUGGCAGCUAGCCUCGCAACCAAUCUUUUUAACCAGGUUGACCUCGGAUCAGGUAGGGAUACCCGCUGAACUUAAGC